This is a long non-coding RNA of Syzygium oleosum, 435 nucleotides long. RefSeq lists it as uncharacterized. NCBI's taxonomy places the organism in Eukaryota, Viridiplantae, Streptophyta, Magnoliopsida, Myrtales, Myrtaceae. The record is from RefSeq and is a predicted model, not a curated record. The transcript is spliced from 2 exons.
CUCUCUAUCUCUAUCUCUCGUGGAGAACUGCGCAUCCGAAGCAGAGUUCGCGAUGGAGAUCAUUGCAACGAUCGAGUGAGUCGAGGGCUGUAUAAUUUGUUUUGGGACGUGUCUUAUAUCGUCUCUCUGUCUGAUCAGAAGCUUUGGUAAUAAUGUCAGUUGAUAGUUUCUGGCUCGUUGCCCGCGGGAUCGGAUCGUGUUCUCGGACGCAGUUUUGGUCGAGCGGAUUCGAGAGAAUCUCACAUUCCUUCAAAGCUGUGCACCAGCAGACUUCAGGUGACACUUGAAAUAUCGCCCUGAACUACUGGACAGGUUAAUACUGUCGUUCCUUUGAAAGUUGUUUUGUUUACCUUUUGGAAGCCGAUGAUUACACUUCCGAAUAGUUUAUAUCUUCCACAGGAUUUAUACCUCUAUAUUGUUGAUGCUCUGUCCUCA